GACGAACGCUGGCGGCGUGCUUAACACAUGCAAGUCGAACGGAAAGGCCCUGCUGUUGUGGGGUGCUCGAGUGGCGAACGGGUGAGUAACAAGUGAGUAACCUGCCCUUGACUUUGGGAUAACUUCAAGAAACUGGGGCUAAUACCGGAUAGGUGCUCCUGCUUCAUGGUGGGGGUUGGAAAUUUUCGGCGGUUGGGGAUGGACUCGCGGCUUAUCAGCUUGUUGGUGGGGUAGUGGCUUACGAAGGCUUUGACGGGUAGCCGGCCUGAGAGGGUGACCGGCCACAUUGGGACUGAGAUACGGCCCAGACUCCUACGGGAGGCAGCAGUGGGGAAUAUUGCACAAUGGGCGGAAGCCGGAUGCAGCAACGCCGCGUGCGGGAGGACGGCCUUCGGGUUGUAAACCGCUUUCGCCUGUGACGAAGCGUGAGUGACGGUAAUGGGUAAAGAAGCACCGGCUAACUACGUG
This 468-nucleotide ribosomal RNA is filed under the name uncultured bacterium. Its description in RNAcentral is "partial 16S ribosomal RNA". It matches the Rfam family "Bacterial small subunit ribosomal RNA", at positions 28 to 507 of the family's 1533-position model. The record is from RNAcentral.